CCUACGGGUGGCAGCAGUGGGGAAUAUUGCACAAUGGGGGAAACCCUGAUGCAGCGACGCCGCGUGGGUGAAGAAGUAUUACGGUAUGUAAAGCCCCAUCAGCCGGGAAGCAAAAUGACGGUACCGUACUCAGAAGCACCUGCUAAAUACAGGCCAGCAGCCGCGGUAAUACGUAUGGUGCAAGCGUUAACCGGAAUUACUGGGUGUAAAGGGAGCGCAGGCGGCACGCUGAGGCUGCUGGGGAAACCCGCGGCCCAACCGCGGGAGUGCAGUGGGAACUGGCCGGCUGGAGUUACAGAGAGGCAGGCGGAAUUCCUAGUGUAGCGGUGAAAUGCGUAGAUAUUAGGAGGAACACCAGUGGCGAAGGCAGCCUGCUGGACGGACACUGACGCUGAGGCUCGAAAGCGUGGGGAGCAAACAGGAUUAGAUACCCCAGUAGUC
This 441-nucleotide ribosomal RNA is filed under the name uncultured bacterium. Its description in RNAcentral is "partial 16S ribosomal RNA". It matches the Rfam family "Bacterial small subunit ribosomal RNA", at positions 338 to 795 of the family's 1533-position model. The record is from RNAcentral.